ACCAACAAGUCGAGCAGAUACGAAAGUAGGACUUAGUGAUCCGGCGGUGGAAUAUGGAAUCGCCGUCGCUCAACGGAUAAAAGGUACUCCGGGGAUAACAGGCUUAUCUUGCCCGAGAGUUCAUAUCGACGGCAAGGUUUGGCACCUCGAUGUCGGCUCAUCACAUCCUGGGGGUGGAGAAGCUCCCAAGGGUUCGGCUGUUCGCCGAUUAAAGUGGUACGUGAGCUGGGUUCAGAACGUCGUAAGACAGUAGACGAAUACAGCUGUCUAUAAAAUUGGCUAUAUGCUGGAAAAUCUGAGUAUCCUAAACUACCUCUUAAAAAAGUUGAAAAUUUUUGAAAGAAAACUUCAACUUCAUGUGUCUAUAUAUUAAGGGGUGAUAAUGUUAUGGGUGCAGACAAUCAGCAGGAAAGGCCUAGGGAAAGCCUAAGCCAUUACAUCGUAGGUUUUGUUGAUGGAGAAGGAACUUUUCAUGUUGCGAUACAAAGACGUAAGGAUUUACCAAAUGGAUUUCAGCUAAUUCCUGAAUUUCAUAUCUCGCAGCAUAAAGAGAAAUCCUCUAUUUUAGAAAAGAUUAAAGAUUUCCUUGGAUGUGGUUAUCUAAAACUGAAUCAUCCAGGAAGUACUCGCGAUGUUACAAAAGUAUACAUAGUGAGGAAUCGACAAGACCUGUUGGAGAAAAUAAUUCCUUUCUUUGAAAAAUAUCCAUUGAUUUCAGAAAAACGGCAAGAUUUUCUGAAAUUUGCUCAGAUUGUUAAAUCAAUGGGACAAGGUAGACACUUAAGCAGAAAGGGAUUAGUUGAUCUUACGAGAUUAGCUUUUUCAAUGUAUAGUAAUGGCAGAUACAGAAAGUUGAAAUUAAAAAUAGUGCUUUCUUUAAUGGAAUCCUCAGAGACUGUACGCCAGUUGCCGAAAGGUAAAGAUACAGUCCGAGCUGCAUGGCGACAUGCAGAGGUUUCCGCCACAAAGCGUGGCGGAUCCGUCAAGUAUUUUGACGGAAGCAGAAAUGACUAACCCUCCGUUCCAGUCAGAGGCUGGUUAGCCGAUGGCUGAUAAGGCGGAAGCAACAAAUCUGUCGGUCUCUAUCUGUUACACGCGCAGGAUAUCUGAAGAGAUAUGUCCGUAGUACGAGAGGACCCGGAUAUACGAACCAAUGGUGUUCCAGUUGUCACGCCAGUGGCAUUUGCUGGGUAGCUAAGUUCGGAAAGGAUAAGCGCUGAAUGCAUAUAAGCGCCAAGCCCCCUCUAAGAUUAGAUAUCCCUCCCCCUCGUGGGGAUAAGGCACCUUGUAGAUAACGAGGUUGAUAGGCUGGAGGUGUAAGACCCGUAAGGGUUUCAGCUGACCAGUACUAAUCUGCCGAACGGCUUGACCAC
This 1373-nucleotide ribosomal RNA is filed under the name Candidatus Omnitrophota bacterium. RNAcentral's name for it is "Candidatus Omnitrophica bacterium partial 23S ribosomal RNA". It matches the Rfam family "Bacterial large subunit ribosomal RNA", at positions 2380 to 2925 of the family's 2925-position model. Lineage: Bacteria; Pseudomonadati; Candidatus Omnitrophota. The record is from RNAcentral.